This 70-nucleotide transfer RNA is filed under the name Marmota monax (woodchuck). Its description in RNAcentral is "tRNA.Ala". The record is from RNAcentral. Lineage: Eukaryota; Metazoa; Chordata; Mammalia; Rodentia; Sciuridae.
GAGAUUUGGCUCAGUGUUAGAGUGCUUGCCUAGCGUGCGCAAGGCCCUGGGUUCAAUCACCAGGAACACA